This 229-nucleotide signal recognition particle RNA is filed under the name Sphenodon punctatus (tuatara). RNAcentral describes it as "Metazoan signal recognition particle RNA (ENSSPUG00000008823.1)". It matches the Rfam family "Metazoan signal recognition particle RNA". From Rfam's summary of the family: The signal recognition particle (SRP) is a universally conserved ribonucleoprotein. It is involved in the co-translational targeting of proteins to membranes. Lineage: Eukaryota; Metazoa; Chordata; Lepidosauria; Sphenodontia; Sphenodontidae. The record is from RNAcentral.
GCUGGGCACAGUGGCUUGUGCCUGUAAUCCCAGCUCCCUAGGAGGCUGUAGUUGGUCAUGCUGAUCAGAUGCCCACACUAAGGUCAGCAUCAAUAUGGUGACCUGUGGGAAGCUGGAGGUUACCAGAUUGUCUAAGAAGGGGUGAACCAGCCCAGGUCAAGAAUGGAGCAGGCCAAAGCUCCUGUGCAGAGGAGUAGUGGGAUUGCACCUGUGGUUGGUCCCUACAGCA